RNAcentral lists this ribosomal RNA (458 nucleotides) under uncultured bacterium. RNAcentral describes it as "partial 16S ribosomal RNA". It matches the Rfam family "Bacterial small subunit ribosomal RNA", at positions 338 to 795 of the family's 1533-position model. The record is from RNAcentral.
CCUACGGGUGGCAGCAGUGGGGAAUAUUGCACAAUGGGGGAAACCCUGAUGCAGCGACGCCGCGUGAGUGAAGAAGUAUUUCGGUAUGUAAAGCUCUAUCAGCAGGGAAGAAAUAGCGACCUUUGGGUCGCCAGACGGUACCUGACUAAGAAGCCCCGGCUAACUACGUGCCAGCAGCCGCGGUAAUACGUAGGGGGCAAGCGUUAUCCGGAUUUACUGGGUGUAAAGGGAGCGUAGGCGGCAGCACAAGUCUGAAGUGAAAUGCCGGGGCUUAACCCCGGAACUGCUUUGGAAACUGUGGAGCGAGAGUGCAGGAGAGGGGAGUAGAAUUCCUGGUGGAGCGGUGAAAUGCGUAGAUAUUUGGAGGAACACCAGUGGCGAAGGCGGCCUACUGGACUGUAACUGACGUUGAGGCGCGAAAGCGUGGGGAGCAAACAGGAUUAGAUACCCGAGUAGUC